GGGUUAAAGAGGGAGACUUUAGUCCCUUUUCUGAACUUGUUCCUCAUGAUUACACCUUUUAUAAUUGCCCCAGGAAAACUGGACGUGGAGGAGGACUUGCAGCUGUUUUCAAACGAAAGUUUAUUACACAUACCAUUCCGACUGGUGUUGUAACGGGACCGACGAGACGGGAGACGUGUGGAUCCAUGUGCGAGCUUUUAUUGAGCAGAGACGUGGUCAUACAGGCAGGGGCAAACAGUGCCAAACAGGUAUAACAUGGGCGAGACAGAGAGUAAACAAAGACAAGCGUGGGUCGACGAUCGGCGAACAGUAUCCAAAGGGGCUUGACAAGAGAGGUAAUCCAAAACGUGAGCGAGAGUCCAGUCAGGGGAAAACAAUCCGAACCAAGGCAAGGCUAGGAAAACUAACGGGGCUCUGUAGGGCAGCGAUAAUGCAUACAAUACUCGGCGACGAGGGAGAGAAAGUCCGUGGCUUAAAUAGGGUAUGUGAUCAGUGUGAUUGGUUACAGCUGUGUGCGUGUGAUCAGGUGAGCGUGUGAUUGGUGAGAUGGCUGAUGGGAAACGCAGUCCAUUGUGAUGUGUGGUGUGAAAGUCAAAGUGGUGAGCGAGUGACCUCUGGUGUUGAAUGAACGGAAGUGCAGACCAGAUUCGUCUACUCGAGCAUUGAGGUUCAACUUCUUCAAAUUGACUUGGUACAUCCAGUUCUCUGUGUUAUAUCGCCCACCGCGUAUUAACAAUGACUUUCUAAAUGAAUUCUCUGACUUACUAGGAGAACUAAUUCCACAGUUUGAUUACAUCUUAGUGUUGGGUGAUUUUAAUAUCCAUUUAUGUUGCCCCACUAAACCCCUGGUAACUGAAUUUAAAAAUCUUAUUGAUUCAUUUGAUUUUGUGCAAGAGCCUACUCAUGCUCAUGGUCACAUGUUGGACUUGGUUCUUUCACAUGGAUUCCAAUUAUCGGACAUUGAAAUCAGUGAAACUUGUUUUUCUGACCACAAACUGGUACUUUUUUCCUCUCAUUUUCCCGAUCCUGUAGUUGCUACACCUUCAGUGACUCGUUUGAAUCGUUAUUUCUCCACUCAGUCAUGUGAGAGAUUUGCGGCCUCUUAUGCAAUAACUGAUCCACCUGUGCCUGAACUGUCCUCUCCUGUGCAGUAUGUGAACAGACUUUUUGAUUUCUUCAAUCAAAAAUGUUUGUCUACUCUGAAUCUUAUUGCUCCGUUUGUCAGGGAUUCGUCACAAGCACCACAGUCACCACCCAGGACAAUCACCCGCUCACAGUCACCUGACUACUAAUCACCUGCACCUGCUGUCACUAAUCAAGCCACAGUAUAAGAACACACACUUCCUAACCUCUCAUUGUCCGGUCUAAGAUUGACUUCAUCUUCUCAAGAUAUCAGUCCAUCUAGAUUUCUAAAACAGAUUUUCAGUACCGUUGGACAUGAUCUUUUAACUGUUUUUAACACUAGUCUAAUUACUGGGGUCGUUCCUGAUUCCCUAAAAACAGCUAUACACUGUUAGACAUUUCUGUAAUUUCCACAGUUAUUUACUGUAUAUCACGCAGUAUAAUACUGCAAAUUCAGAAAUAUACCGGGGCAUCAGUUUACUGUCCGCAUCCACUGUAGAUAGUAUACAGUAUAUAAUGGGUUCUAUAUUGUUUUUUAUCGAGUCGCGCCGCACCACUCGCUCCGAGGAAGACACAGAUCCAGCGGGGCAGCGAUGUGGGUUUUUCCCGGGGAUGAACCCGUGAGAGUGAAAGAGCUCCGGAGAACAUCGAGAACAUGUGCGCUGUGUGUCGAUGCACUUUACGAGAGAAUAAGACCUGCAAGCAAGGCAACUGCAAUGAAGCAUCAAGAAAGACAUGAGCAGGCCAGCCAACCUGAGACUGAUAAUUCAUGAGAAGACAUUUCUGUCAAAGUGGAUGGUGAGCAAAGAUGGUGGCCACGUUUUGGAGCAGCACCUGGGUUUUGCAGAUGGCUAUGUAUUCUUUGGCUGCUUGUCUUUUUCCCCCCAUUAUGUUUCUAUUGCAUAAAGAUUCCUUGUGAGGAUGAACGUCCUAAGACAGGAGAAAUGUUGAAGAUGCACUGUUCCAGCAUUGGAAGUCUGUAU
This is a long non-coding RNA of Onychostoma macrolepis, 2105 nucleotides long. RefSeq lists it as uncharacterized. The transcript has 3 exons. The record is from RefSeq and is a predicted model, not a curated record. Lineage: Eukaryota; Metazoa; Chordata; Actinopteri; Cypriniformes; Cyprinidae.